Papaver somniferum (opium poppy) is the source of this 789-nucleotide long non-coding RNA. RefSeq lists it as uncharacterized. The transcript has 3 exons. The record is from RefSeq and is a predicted model, not a curated record. NCBI's taxonomy places the organism in Eukaryota, Viridiplantae, Streptophyta, Magnoliopsida, Ranunculales, Papaveraceae.
UAUGCCUUAAUUUAUAUAACAAAUCAAUCUCUGAGAAAUAAAAAGAAUGUUAAUUAAAUGCAAAUCUAGGCUCCUUGCACCUCCUCAGAACCCCACUUGCUCCAAAACUAGAAAGAUCUAACAAAACCCUAAAAUACAACUGCUGAUUUCGCUUUCUAUUGAUAGUUAAUUCCAGAUUUCGGAGCAAUGUCAGUCAUUGUCAAAGUCUUCCUGAAGAGAUUCAGGUGGAUAUCUUUCUAAGGUUACCAGUAAAUUCGAUCUUAGUGUCUACAUGCAAAGAUUGAAUUCUGAUUCACUGGUCCAUUGAAUCGGGUACUUAUGUGGAGAAAAGACAAGCAGCAAAGUAAUCAAGUGAAAUCUAUCAAUAUUGAGGUUAACUUUCUGCCUGAAACUAUCCAGUGAAUGUAUUCUUUGCUGUUUGAUUGUCCCUUGCCCCAAGGCUUCCCAUCCUUUUACACCAUUGUUGAAUUCAGGAUUGACUAUAAUCCCUCCUUCAUAGUGAGGUUUCUCAGGCUCUGCCAAGCACUAAUAGAGGAGUAGACGAUGGACAAAGGAAGAACAGAUGGAAUUUAGUCGGUAAAUAGUGUAUAAGCAAUGAAAUGGAGCAAGGAAUGCAAGAAGUUGUAGUACAUGACUUACUCAUGUGGUUGCUGCUUCAUGGUUUGUGGUGCUGACGUUUCUGGCGCUGUUACUUUGAAGCUCUGAGUCACUGUGGAAUUCAUAAAUGGGUGACUAAUCGUUACAUCAUAGUCCCCGUGGAAAAGCGAAGUCUUGAAGUCACCGUUCACA